Molecule: transfer RNA, 85 nt
Filed under: Felis catus (domestic cat)
Lineage: Eukaryota; Metazoa; Chordata; Mammalia; Carnivora; Felidae
Also listed under: 1 other name
Rfam family: tRNA
About the family: Transfer RNA (tRNA) molecules are approximately 80 nucleotides in length. Their secondary structure includes four short double-helical elements and three loops (D, anti-codon, and T loops).
Source: Rfam by way of RNAcentral
GCCUGGGUGGCUCAGUCGGUUAAGCAUCUGACUUUGGCUCAGGUCAUGAUCUCAUGGUUUGUGAGUUUGAGCCCCGCAUCAGGCU